AUUGAACGCUGGCGGCAUGCCUUACACAUGCAAGUCGAACGGCAGCACGGGAGCAAUCCUGGUGGCGAGUGGCGAACGGGUGAGUAAUACAUCGGAACGUGCCCAAUCGUGGGGGAUAACGUAGCGAAAGCUACGCUAAUACCGCAUACGAUCUACGGAUGAAAGCAGGGGAUCGCAAGACCUUGCGCGAAUGGAGCGGC
This 200-nucleotide ribosomal RNA is filed under the name uncultured bacterium. RNAcentral describes it as "partial 16S ribosomal RNA". It matches the Rfam family "Bacterial small subunit ribosomal RNA", at positions 30 to 230 of the family's 1533-position model. The record is from RNAcentral.